RNAcentral lists this ribosomal RNA (503 nucleotides) under Psora crenata. Its description in RNAcentral is "LSU rRNA". It matches the Rfam family "Eukaryotic large subunit ribosomal RNA", at positions 95 to 601 of the family's 3401-position model. The record is from RNAcentral. Lineage: Eukaryota; Fungi; Ascomycota; Lecanoromycetes; Lecanorales; Psoraceae.
GAAGCGGCAACAGCUCAAAUUUGAAAUCUGACCCUUUGGGGUCCGAGUUGUAAUUUGCAGAGGGUGUUUCGGGCGCGGUGCCGGUUUAAGUCCUUUGGAACAGGGUGUCAUAGAGGGUGAGAACCCCGUAUGCGACCGGCCGCCAAACCCAUGUGAAACCCCUUCGACGAGUCGAGUUGUUUGGGAAUGCAGCUCAAAAUGGGUGGUAAAUUUCAUCUAAAGCUAAAUACUGGCCAGAGACCGAUAGCGCACAAGUAGAGUGAUCGAAAGAUGAAAAGCACUUUGGAAAGAGAGUCAAACAGCACGUGAAAUUGUUGAAAGGGAAGCGCUUGCGACCAGACCUGCUCGCGGGUGAUCAGCGGUGCUUUUCGCGCCGUGCACUCGUCCGCGAUCAGGCCAGCAUCGGUUCCGGCGGCCGGACAAAGGCUCGGAGAAUGUGGCUCCCUUCGGGGAGUGUUAUAGCUCCUUGUGCAACACGGUCAGCCGGGACCGAGGACCGCGGU